This 465-nucleotide ribosomal RNA is filed under the name uncultured bacterium. Its description in RNAcentral is "partial 16S ribosomal RNA". It matches the Rfam family "Bacterial small subunit ribosomal RNA", at positions 31 to 507 of the family's 1533-position model. The record is from RNAcentral.
GAACGCUGGCGGCGUGCUUAACACAUGCAAGUCGAACGGAAAGGCCCAAGCUUGCUUGGGUCCUCGAGUGGCGAACGGGUGAGUAACACGUGGGUGAUCUGCCCUGCACUUCGGGAUAAGCCUGGGAAACUGGGUCUAAUACCGGAUAGGACGAUGGUUUGGAUGCCAUUGUGGAAAGUUUUUUCGGUGUGGGAUGAGCUCGCGGCCUAUCAGCUUGUUGGUGGGGUAAUGGCCUACCAAGGCGUCGACGGGUAGCCGGCCUGGGAGGGGGUACGGCCACAUUGGGACUGAGAUACGGCCCAGACUCCUACGGGAGGCAGCAGUGGGGAAUAUUGCACAAUGGGCGCAAGCCUGAUGCAGCGACGCCGCGUGGGGGAUGACGGCCUUCGGGUUGUAAACUCCUUUCGCUAGGGACGAAGCGUUUUUGUGACGGUACCUGGAGAAGAAGCACCGGCUAACUACGUG